Molecule: long non-coding RNA, 1116 nt
Filed under: Felis catus (domestic cat)
Lineage: Eukaryota; Metazoa; Chordata; Mammalia; Carnivora; Felidae
Description: lncRNA (ENSFCAG00000047825.1)
Source: RNAcentral
CCACUAAGCCCCCCAGGUGCCCCUGCAUUUAUUUUUAAAAAGUUCUAAAGAUGAUUCAAGUGUGCCCAGAAGUCUCCUCACUUGGGGUUAUUCAGUAAACUCUGAGGACUUAGAGAUUUCCUGAAUUCUCAAGCACUCCCAAAGGUCAGUUGAGAUGUCACUGAGGUCACUGUGUGAAUGGUCUCAUUCUCUUUGAGCUAAGGAUCUAGUCCCUCUUCUACACCCAGCAGUAUCUCCCAGAGUUUUCUUCUCUAUAUAGUAAAUCUCAUUAAGAGUCAGAAAGGGCAACUUGAAGUAAUCAAUUUUACUUUAUUUUAUGGGGAAAUUCUUAGGAUAGUGCAGCAUUUGUGAAUCAAGGAUUGAAAGUCCUCUAGUAUAUCUUUUUCAAAUGUCAAGGGUAUAUCGAUUCAGGUUUAUGUUAAUAUUGUGAAUAUCCAUUUAUGGGAAAAUGAAAGAUAUUCUAAAAUUUUUGAGGGAAGGAAGUAGGUCAUCCUUUAUGACUUUCUAAUCCUGAAUAGUCAAGGAACUGUUUGAACACAGCUUUCUUCUUACAGACUUUUAAAUACUCAAUUUUACCCGAUGGUGACCUUUCUUGUUUCCAGUUGUGAGACAUUUGCAAUCAUUUUGGUACCUGAAUAUUACAGUUUUUAUUGUGCUUCAAAUAUUGCAUUAAUUUUUGUUUUUUUCCUCCCUUAACAGGUACGAGGCUGUUAAGGGCUGGGAACUUUAGUACCUUCUGCAGUGCUAAAAAUAUUGUCAAUGGAGCACACAGCAAUAUUAGGAUUUAUGGUGAAGAGCUGGGAAAGCAAGCUUAAAAGGGAUCAUAACAUCUUAGAGCAGCUGCCAUGGGAAAUGUGUAGGAGGAUGACGAGGACAAGUGUGAAAGUAAAGACAUAUUUGCAAAGCUUGGCUGAAUUUGGCAGGAAAAGGAGGAAGAAUUAGGAUAAAAUGAAGUAAGUGGUUGCUUUUUUCUGCCUUCCAACACCCCCUCCCCCCCACCCCCACGAUAUACACAAUGGAAGGAAAGAAAGAAAAUCAGGUUUUCCCUUGUUGCUUGAGAAGACUUAAAGAUCUAAGAUUAAUAAAAUCUGUCUAAUUCUUUGGCUGGUAAGUUAG